RNAcentral lists this ribosomal RNA (446 nucleotides) under uncultured bacterium. RNAcentral's name for it is "partial 16S ribosomal RNA". It matches the Rfam family "Bacterial small subunit ribosomal RNA", at positions 338 to 795 of the family's 1533-position model. The record is from RNAcentral.
CCUACGGGUGGCAGCAGUAAGGAAUUUUCGGCAAUGGGGGGAAGCCUGACCGAGCAACGCCGCGUGAACGAAGAAGUUAUUCGUAAUGUAAAGUUCUUUUAGCCGGGAAGAAAGAGACCUUUGACGGUACCUGACGAAUAAGACCCGGCUAACUACGUGCCAGCAGCCUCGGUAAUACGUCGGGAGCGAGCGUUAUCCGGAAUUAUUGGGCGUAAAGGGUGCGUAGAUGGCAUCGUAAGUCUUUGGUAAAAAUGCUGGGCUCAACCCAGUAGGGCAAAAGAUACUGCACAGCUAGAGUAUGACAGAGGCAAGUGGAACGACAUGUGUAGCGGUGAAAUGCGUAAAUAUAUGGAAGAACACCAGUGGCGAAGGCGGCUUGCUGGGUCGAUACUGACGUUGAGGCACGAAAGCGUGGGGAGCGAACAGGAUUAGAUACCCGUGUAGUC